This 680-nucleotide ribosomal RNA is filed under the name Pseudotruncatella camporesii. RNAcentral's name for it is "SSU rRNA". It matches the Rfam family "Eukaryotic small subunit ribosomal RNA", at positions 412 to 1099 of the family's 1831-position model. The record is from RNAcentral. Lineage: Eukaryota; Fungi; Ascomycota; Sordariomycetes; Amphisphaeriales; Pseudotruncatellaceae.
CAUCCAAGGAAGGCAGCAGGCGCGCAAAUUACCCAAUCCCGAUUCGGGGAGGUAGUGACAAUAAAUACUGAUACAGGGCUCUUUUGGGUCUUGUAAUUGGAAUGAGUACAAUUUAAAUCCCUUAACGAGGAACAAUUGGAGGGCAAGUCUGGUGCCAGCAGCCGCGGUAAUUCCAGCUCCAAUAGCGUAUAUUAAAGUUGUUGCAGUUAAAAAGCUCGUAGUUGAACCUUGGGCCUGGCUGGCCGGUCCGCCUCACCGCGUGCACUGGUUCGGCCGGGCCUUUCCCUCUGGGGAGCCGCAUGCUCUUUAUUGAGUGUGUCGGGGAACCAGGACUUUUACUGUGAAAAAAUUAGAGUGUUCAAAGCAGGCCUAUGCUCGAAUACAUUAGCAUGGAAUAAUAGAAUAGGACGUGUGGUUCUAUUUUGUUGGUUUCUAGGACCGCCGUAAUGAUUAAUAGGGACAGUCGGGGGCAUCAGUAUUCAAUUGUCAGAGGUGAAAUUCUUGGAUUUAUUGAAGACUAACUACUGCGAAAGCAUUUGCCAAGGAUGUUUUCAUUAACCAGGAACGAAAGUUAGGGGAUCGAAGACGAUCAGAUACCGUCGUAGUCUUAACCAUAAACUAUGCCGACUAGGGAUCGGACGAUGUUAUUAUUUGACCCGUUCGGCACCUUACGAGAAAUC